Molecule: long non-coding RNA, 1303 nt
Filed under: Canis lupus familiaris (dog)
Lineage: Eukaryota; Metazoa; Chordata; Mammalia; Carnivora; Canidae
Description: lncRNA (ENSCAFG00000056449.1)
Source: RNAcentral
UUUUUGUUUUGGGUUUUUUUGUUUGUUAAAUAGAUUUUAUGUGUCAUGCAUUGUGCUAGCUGCACUGUAUUUAUUUUGCUUUAUUUUUUCAAUAUUCAAAUACCAGUAUACCACAGCUAAUGUCAUAAAAAGUAGAUGUUAUGCAAGAAAUAAUAUUAGAGAAAAUUUAGGUACUAUAGAAAAGACAUUUUAUAAUGACAAUGAUGUAAAUCUGAAAUUUGUAUUCACCAAAUAAUAUAGUUUCAAAUACGUAAAGCAAAGUUGACAGAACUAAAAAAGAGAGAGAGAGAGAGAGAAAGAAGAAAAAAAAGAAACACAUUUAUAAUCAUACUCAGAGAUCUUAACACACCUCCAUCACUAGCUGAAAGAACAAAUGGACAUGAAAUUGAUAAGAAUAAAGAAGAUCUGAACACCAUGAUUAACCAACUUAGCCUAACAUAUUUAGACCACUAGACCUAACAACUACAGAAUGACCAUUUUUCCCAAAUGCACAUGAAAGAUUUUAUCAAAAGAAACCAUAAUCUGAUUCAAAAAGCAAGGCUCAACAAGUUUCAAAGUAUUUAAAUUUUAGAGUAUGUUUUCUGACUAUAGUAAAAUUAAACUAGAAAUGUAUAACUUAAAGUAUUCCCAAAUGUCUAGGAAAUUAAGCAACACAACACACUUCUAGAUGGCUCAUAUGUUAAAAAAGAAAAAGAAAAAGAAUAAGAACUCAAAAGUUAGAAAAUACUUGGGACUGAAUGAUAAUUAAAGUGUGACACAUCAAAAAUUUCUUACAUAGUGAAGCUAAAGCAAUUGUCAGAAGGAAGUUUAAGAAAGAAAUAAUAUCUGUUUGAGGCAAACUGUUCCAGAGAGCAGAAAAAAGAGGAAAUUCUUUCCAACUCAUUUUUGAGGCAGAUAGCCUUGAUACUAAGACCUGGCAAGUACAUUACAAUAAAGGAAAAGUACAGACCAAUCUUUCUUGGGAACACAGAUGCAAAAAUCCUAAAUAAAAUAUUAGCAAAUUGAAAAGGAUACUAUAUCAUGAUCAAACAGAAUUUAUGCAGAAAUGUAAAGUUGAUUUAACAUUGAAAAAUCAGUGUUAAUCACCACAUACCAGAACAAAGUAGUCACACAAUCCUCUCAAUAGAUGCAUAAGAAGCAUUUGAUAAAAUUCGACACUUAUACAUAACUUAAAAAAGAAAAGUCAGGGGAUCCCUGGGUGGUGCAACGGUUUGGUGCCUGCCUUUGGCCCAGGGCGCGAUCCUGGAGACCCGGGAUCGAAUCCCACGUCGGGCUCCCGGUGCAUGGAGCCUGCUUCUCCCUC